This is a long non-coding RNA of Amphimedon queenslandica, 424 nucleotides long. RefSeq lists it as uncharacterized. The record is from RefSeq and is a predicted model, not a curated record. The transcript has 5 exons. Lineage: Eukaryota; Metazoa; Porifera; Demospongiae; Haplosclerida; Niphatidae.
AGAAUUAAGGCUGGCUAUGUUUGUUCUUGUAUCUGUUCAUUAGGUUUCAUGGAAGUCAAUCAAUUACUGUAGCCACAAUUCAUCAUCUUCUUGCCGACUCAUAGACUCACAUUGGAGCAUUUGCUGAAGCUAAGCAAUAUAAGAGAAAAGCAUACAAUAUCUAUAGGACUAAAUUUGGCCCAGAUCAUGCACGUACUGUUCAGUCUUAUAAAAAACGUGAGGUAUAUCACUGAAAAGCAAGUCUCUUAUGACCAGACUGAGAAGCAACUGAUGGUGAGACUAGACCUGUAGGAAGAGGAACGGCUACACGUAAUAGAGAAGCAACUGAUGGUGAUACUAGAGCUGUAAGAAGAGAAACAGCUACACGUAAUAGUAAGUUCUUUUAUGCUAGCAGUGAGUAAGUGUAUGUCUCGAGCUGUGUAGA